This 1480-nucleotide ribosomal RNA is filed under the name uncultured bacterium. RNAcentral's name for it is "bacterial SSU rRNA". It matches the Rfam family "Bacterial small subunit ribosomal RNA". The record is from RNAcentral.
UGGCUCAGAUUGAACGCUGGCGGCAGGCCUAACACAUGCAAGUCGAACGGUAACAGGAAGCAGCUUGCUGCUUUGCUGACGAGUGGCGGACGGGUGAGUAAUGUCUGGGAAACUGCCUGAUGGAGGGGGAUAACUACUGGAAACGGUGGCUAAUACCGCAUAACGUCGCAAGACCAAAGAGGGGGACCUUCGGGCCUCUUGCCAUCAGAUGUGCCCAGAUGGGAUUAGCUUGUUGGUGAGGUAACGGCUCACCAAGGCGACGAUCCCUAGCUGGUCUGAGAGGAUGACCAGCCACACUGGAACUGAGACACGGUCCAGACUCCUACGGGAGGCAGCAGUGGGGAAUAUUGCACAAUGGGCGCAAGCCUGAUGCAGCCAUGCCGCGUGUAUGAAGAAGGCCUUCGGGUUGUAAAGUACUUUCAGCGGGGAGGAAGGUGUUGCGGUUAAUAACCGCAGCAAUUGACGUUACCCGCAGAAGAAGCACCGGCUAACUCCGUGCCAGCAGCCGCGGUAAUACGGAGGGUGCAAGCGUUAAUCGGAAUUACUGGGCGUAAAGCGCACGCAGGCGGUCUGUCAAGUCGGAUGUGAAAUCCCCGGGCUCAACCUGGGAACUGCAUUCGAAACUGGCAGGCUUGAGUCUUGUAGAGGGGGGUAGAUUCCCAGGUGUAGCGGUGAAAUGCGUAGAGAUCUGGAGGAAUACCGGUGGCGAAGGCGGCCCCCUGGACAAAGACUGACGCUCAGGUGCGAAAGCGUGGGGAGCAAACAGGAUUAGAUACCCUGGUAGUCCACGCCGUAAACGAUGUCUACUUGGAGGUUGUGCCCUUGAGGCGUGGCUUCCGGAGCUAACGCGUUAAGUAGACCGCCUGGGGAGUACGGCCGCAAGGUUAAAACUCAAAUGAAUUGACGGGGGCCCGCACAAGCGGUGGAGCAUGUGGUUUAAUUCGAUGCAACGCGAAGAACCUUACCUGGUCUUGACAUCCACAGAAGAAUCCAGAGAUGGAUUUGUGCCUUCGGGAACUGUGAGACAGGUGCUGCAUGGCUGUCGUCAGCUCGUGUUGUGAAAUGUUGGGUUAAGUCCCGCAACGAGCGCAACCCUUAUCCUUUGUUGCCAGCGAUUAGGUCGGGAACUCAAAGGAGACUGCCAGUGAUAAACUGGAGGGAGGUGGGGAUGACGUCGAGUCAUCAUGGCCCUUACGACCAGGGCUACACACGUGCUACAAUGGCGCAUACAAAGAGAAGCGACCUCGCGAGAGCAAGCGGACCUCAUAAAGUGCGUCGUAGUCCGGAUUGGAGUCUGCAACUCGACUCCAUGAAGUCGGAAUCGCUAGUAAUCGUGGAUCAGAAUGCCACGGUGAAUACGUUCCCGGGCCUUGUACACACCGCCCGUCACACCAUGGGAGUGGGUUGCAAAAGAAGUAGGUAGCUUAACCUUCGGGAGGGCGCUUACCACUUUGUGAUUCAUGACUGGGGUGAAGUCGUA